AUGAAUCAUCAUGAUGGCAUCAGCACCCCCAAUGGCAAGUUCUACCUAGGAGAUGCUGGCUAUGCAUGUUGGCCAGGUGUUCUUCCACCCUUCAGGAAAACCAAGUACCAUCUGAACGAGUUCUCUGGUAGGAACUAUCCUAAGACCCAUUGGGAACUGUUCAAUCCCACAUACUCCAGCCUUAGGGUAACAGUUGAGAGGGUAUUUGGAGCGCUGAAGAAUAGGUUUAAGAUCCUGGAUCAAAAGCCAUUCCGCCCUUACCCUCAGGUCAAGCUUGUUCUUGCAUGUCGUAUCAUUCACAACUGGAUCCUGCAAUGGGGAAUUGAUGAACUUGUGCCGGAGAAGGAAAAUGUGAUGCAUGAUGAGGUAAUCAGCUCCGGCCAUGGUGUGAAGGCGUUUGACAAUAAAGCGUCGAAGAACAAAAAGUUGGAGUGA
Molecule: ribosomal RNA, 435 nt
Filed under: Triticum aestivum (bread wheat)
Lineage: Eukaryota; Viridiplantae; Streptophyta; Magnoliopsida; Poales; Poaceae
Description: partial small subunit ribosomal RNA
Source: RNAcentral